RNAcentral lists this ribosomal RNA (447 nucleotides) under uncultured bacterium. RNAcentral describes it as "partial 16S ribosomal RNA". It matches the Rfam family "Bacterial small subunit ribosomal RNA", at positions 29 to 523 of the family's 1533-position model. The record is from RNAcentral.
AACGAACGCUGGCGGCAGGCCUAACACAUGCAAGUCGAGCGCCCCGCAAGGGGAGCGGCGGACGGGUGAGUAACGCGUGGGAGCGUGCCCUUUGCUACGGAAUAGCCUCGGGAAACUGGGAGUAAUACCGUAUAAGCCCUACGGGGGAAAGAUUUAUCGGCAAAGGAUCGGCCCGCGUUGGAUUAGGUAGUUGGUGGGGUAAUGGCCUACCAAGCCGACGAUCCAUAGCUGGUUUGAGAGGAUGAUCAGCCACACUGGGACUGAGACACGGCCCAGACUCCGACGGGAGGCAGCAGUGGGGAAUCUUAGACAAUGGGCGCAAGCCUGAUCUAGCCAUGCCGCGUGAGCGAUGAAGGCCUUAGGGUUGUAAAGCUCUUUCGUGGGGGAAGAUAAUGACUGUACCCCAAGAAGAAGCCCCGGCUAACUCCGUGCCAGCCGCCGCAGUAA